This 253-nucleotide ribosomal RNA is filed under the name uncultured bacterium. RNAcentral's name for it is "partial 16S ribosomal RNA". It matches the Rfam family "Bacterial small subunit ribosomal RNA", at positions 524 to 776 of the family's 1533-position model. The record is from RNAcentral.
UACGGGGGGGGCAAGCGUUGUUCGGAAUUACUGGGCGUAAAGGGCUCGUAGGUGGCCAACUAAGUCAGACGUGAAAUCCCUCGGCUUAACCGGGGAACUGCAUCUGAUACUGGAUGGCUUGAGUUUGGGAGAGGGAUGCGGAAUUCCAGGUGUAGCGGUGAAAUGCGUAGAUAUCUGGAGGAACACCGGUGGCGAAGGCGCCCACCUGGCCUGCUACUGACGCUGAAGCUCGAAAGCUAGGGGAGCAAACGGG